RNAcentral lists this ribosomal RNA (497 nucleotides) under uncultured bacterium. RNAcentral's name for it is "partial 16S ribosomal RNA". It matches the Rfam family "Bacterial small subunit ribosomal RNA", at positions 28 to 507 of the family's 1533-position model. The record is from RNAcentral.
GAUGAACGCUGGCGGCGUGCCUAAUACAUGCAAGUCGAGCGAACAGACGAGGAGCUUGCUCCUCUGACGUUAGCGGAGGACGGGUGAGUAACACGUGGAUCACCUACCUAUAAGACUGGGAUCACUUCGGGAAACCGGAGCAAAUACCGUAUAAUCUAUUGAACCACAUGGGUCAUUAGUAAAAGACGGUUUUGCUGUCUCUUAUAGAUGGAUACGCGCCGGAUUAGCUAGUUGGUACGGUAACGGCUUACCAAGGCGACCAUGCGUAGCCGACCUGAGAGGGUGAUCGGCCACACGAGAGCUGAGACAGGCACCAGACGCCUACGGGAGGCAGCAGUAGGGAACCUUCCGCAAUGGGCGAAAGCUUGACGGAGCAAGGCCGCGUGAGUGAUGAAGGUCUUCGGAUCGUAAAACUCUGUUAUUAGGGAAGAACAAAUGUGUAAGUAACUAUGCACGUCUUGACGGUACCUAAUCAGAAAGCCACGGCUAACUACGUG